Molecule: ribosomal RNA, 394 nt
Filed under: uncultured bacterium
Lineage: Bacteria
Description: bacterial SSU rRNA
Rfam family: Bacterial small subunit ribosomal RNA
Source: RNAcentral
GGUGAGUAAUGCCUAUGAAUCUGCCUGGUAGUGGGGGAUAACGUGCGGAAACGGACGCUAAUACCGCGACGUCCUACGGGAGAAAGCAAGGGACCUUCGGGCCUUGCGCUAUCACAUGAGCCUAGGUCGGAUUAGCUAGUUGGUGGGGUAAUGGCUCACCAAGGCGACGAUCCGUAACUGGUCUGAAAGGAUGAUCAGUCACACUGGAACUGAUACACGGUCCAGACUCCUACGGGAGGCCCCAGUGGGGAAUAUUGGACAAUGGGCGAAAGCCUGAUCCACCAUGCCGCGUGUGUGAAGAAGGUCUUCGGAUUGUAAAGCACUUUAAGUUGGGAGGAAGGGGAGUAAAUUAAUACUUUGCUGUUUUGACGUGACCGACUGAAUAAGCACCGGC